CUGAAUUCCACCCGUUUUACUCAUACCAUUUUCCUCCAUAUCCCCCUCAACAACACUAUUUCCCAACAUCAGCCCCCACUACCUCACCUAAACACACAAAUUCCCCUCAACCUGCCACCCAAGCCCUGCGUAUGCCACCUAAAGGAGACCCCCAGGUCCCACACACACCUGAAUUCCACCAGUUUCACCCGUACCAUUUUCCUCCGUAUCCCCCUCGACGCCAUUUCCCAAAAUCAGCCCCCACUACCUCACCUAAACACACACAAUCCCCUCAAGCUGUCACCCAGGUCCUGCAUAUGCCACCUAAAGGAGACCCCCAGGUCCCACACACACCUGAAUUCCACCCGUACCAUUUUCCUCCGUAUCCCCAUCAGCCGUAUUUCCCAACAUCAGCCCCCACUACCUCACCUAAACACACAAAUUCCCCUCAACCUGCCACCCAAGCCCUGCAUAUGCCACCUAAAGGAUACCCCCAGGUCCCACAAAUGCCUGACUUCAAAAUGUUUUACCCGUACCAUUUUACUACACAUCUCCCUCAACCUUAUUUCCCAUCAGCCUCUACAACCACACCUAAACAAACAAAUCAGGCCCUGCAUAUGCCACCUAAAGGAUACCCUCAGGUCCCACUGAGUUACCAGUUCCCCCAAUACAAUUUCCCAGGGUUUUUCCCUCAACGCUCUGUCCCAAGAGCACCCCCCGGGAUAGCCAGCCAACUGGAUAACCAGAAUAACCCCCAGAAAUAUCAUUACUCAGAUUCCUCCUACCGUCAAAAGUCAGCCACUCCUUCAGUAACUGCUAGCACUAUCCCUGGCACCACACCCCAGGCCCAACCCAAGCAGCCCUUCAUGCAAUAUGACCAGUACCCGAUGGUUCGCAGCUGGAAUCCGUAUGCUUCUGCUCUGUUCCCACCCCAUUAUGGAACGGCGCCGUAUCAUUCUCAAGGGCCUAGGGAGUAACUUAUGGUGGAAUCUACAGUUUCCAGCCAUUACUUGUGAAGUGUAAAAUAAAUUUACUAAAUGUA
Oncorhynchus gorbuscha (pink salmon) is the source of this 1021-nucleotide long non-coding RNA. RefSeq lists it as uncharacterized. The record is from RefSeq and is a predicted model, not a curated record. Lineage: Eukaryota; Metazoa; Chordata; Actinopteri; Salmoniformes; Salmonidae. The transcript is spliced from 2 exons.